UAAAACGUAGGGGGCAAGCGUUGCCCGGAUUCACUGGGCGUAAAGCGGGUGUAGGCGGUUCCUUAAGUCGGAUGUGAAAUCCAGCGGCCCAACCGCUGAAUUGCAUCCGAUACUGGGGAACUUGAGGACGGUAGAGGUCGGUGGAAUCCCCGGUGUACCGGUGAAAUGGGCAGAUAUCGGGGGGAACACCAGUGGCGAAGGCGGCCGACUGGGCCGAUCCUGACGCUGAGACCCGAAAGCUAGGGUAGCGAACCGGAUUAGAUACCCGGGUAGUCCUAGCCGUAAACGGUGCGAACUAGGUGUGGGGGCUGUCAUGGCCUCCGUGCCGAAGCUAACGCAUUAAGUUCGCCGCCUGGGGAGUACGGCCGCAAGGCUA
This 376-nucleotide ribosomal RNA is filed under the name uncultured bacterium. Its description in RNAcentral is "bacterial SSU rRNA". It matches the Rfam family "Bacterial small subunit ribosomal RNA", at positions 521 to 896 of the family's 1533-position model. The record is from RNAcentral.